UAAAUCUUGGCGGUGGAUCACUCGGUUCGUGGAUCGAUGAAGAACGCAGCCAGCUGCGAUAAAUAGUGCGAAUUGCAGACACAUUGAGCACUAAAAUUUCGAACGCACAUUGCGCCAUCGGGUUCAUUCCCGCUGGCACGUCUGGCUGAGGGUCGAA
Molecule: ribosomal RNA, 157 nt
Filed under: Contracaecum eudyptulae
Lineage: Eukaryota; Metazoa; Nematoda; Chromadorea; Rhabditida; Anisakidae
Also listed under: 2 other names
Description: partial 5.8S ribosomal RNA
Rfam family: 5.8S ribosomal RNA
About the family: 5.8S ribosomal RNA (5.8S rRNA) is a component of the large subunit of the eukaryotic ribosome. It is transcribed by RNA polymerase I as part of the 45S precursor that also contains 18S and 28S rRNA.
Source: RNAcentral